Molecule: non-coding RNA, 124 nt
Organism: Chelonoidis abingdonii (Abingdon island giant tortoise)
Lineage: Eukaryota; Metazoa; Chordata; Testudines; Testudinidae
Source: RefSeq, a predicted model, not a curated record
UGUGGUUUAAAGACUUCAAGCUGCUGAGCACAUUGUAUUGCUGGCAUCACACUAGUGAAUGACUGUAGCAUUUUGAGUACUAGCUACUUGCUGACCCUUCAACCAUACAAAUACACUGAAAUAA